Molecule: long non-coding RNA, 2044 nt
Filed under: Nicotiana tabacum (common tobacco)
Lineage: Eukaryota; Viridiplantae; Streptophyta; Magnoliopsida; Solanales; Solanaceae
Description: long non-coding RNA (NTAB_LNC012193)
Source: RNAcentral
UUCAUCUUCCUCACCCCUCAGAACUUCGUUACCCCUAACAAACCCUAGCAACACCGCCCUAACUCCUACCGCCAUAGCCCGGCGGCGCCGACUCCAAUCCUUACCAAAAACACACAAUAGAACCACCCUAAUCCCCUCGUUCCAAAUACCAACUCCGUUUCCCUCGAGUGUCACCCAAUCCUCGCGAAUAUUAGAUCAGAAAUUGAACCGUAAAAUCCCUAGGUCUCAAAUCAAGGGUUCGUUGAAGACUUUAAGGCUCAGUCCGACUUUAAUCGCGUGUCUUUGACAAAGAACAUAUGAUUAAUCUCGGACUGGACCGAAAAUUGGAGAUUUCGAGGCGUAAACGAUAGUUCUUGUUUGUCCGAGAUCCCUAGGUAUUUUGUCUUUACCCUUUGGUAUUUUGUCUCCUCAUCCUCACUUUCUUCUACUCUUUCUCUUAUUUUUUUUUUGAUUUUCGUUCUGUUUCUUUAUUUAUCAUUCUUCUUUAUCUUCCGUAUCUGCAUGUUAGAUUUAGGAUGUGUGUGAUUGUAAGUUGGGCCUCGUGUUCAAGUUCAGAUAGUUUGAAUUUGCAUCGUUUUGGGCUUAACUUUGUUCCGAGUCUUUAGGGUUCUUAAUUUAAUCGUUUGGGUUUUGGGUUUUUUUUCUAGUAUUGAUUGGGUUCACAAGAUUAAAAAGCCUAAUAGAGAGUUGAACUAGGUUUCAGUUGACCCAAUCAGCUUGACCCAAUUAGCUUGACCAGUUGACCCGGGUGGUGUUGAGGUAGUUUCAGAGUUUUUAAAGGGUAGUGUAGGUAAUCUAGCUAAAGAAUCUUUUGGGUAACUGACUUAGAAGCUUCUAGUAGGGGUCUUUUAUGGAAUUUCAGAUUUUAGCUUGGGUAACAAGUCAGAAAAUGGAGGAUUAACUGGCAAAAAUGAAAAUCAGGGAGCGACUAGAAGUGCAAAGGAAAACUUUUGUGUCUGCCCUAUUUGCUGGCCUAUAAAGGCAUUCUUACUAGCCUUAGAAGGUAGGGAUUAAGAACUUUAAAGUAGAGAACAUUGGAAACUGCUGAAAAAUACUGAAAGGGUUUGAAUAAUCAGAAAAAAUACAAAGAAAAAUCACAAAAUCACUGUUACAUUGAAGUUUUUCUGCAAUUCUUGGGGUUUUCAAGUUUUGAAGUAAUCUCUGAUUCAUUCUGGGUUCGAAAUGGUUUAAAGAAGCUGGAUUUGCUGUUGUUGAAAUGCUGAAGUGCAUCCAUUUCUACUGCUGAUCUUCUCACCUUUUCUUUUGCUCUAAUUGCAUCAGGUACUCUUUUGAACUGUGACUGGAAAUGAUGCCUGAUUGAGUCUCUGUGUGAAGAUCUGUAAAUCGAGUUGAAGUUAAAUGACAAACAUUAGUGUUGAUUACUGCUUGAUUCUGCCAUUUUUCUUUAUUUAUUUCAUGUUUGCCUAGUCUAGCUUAUUUUGCAUACUCCAUUCCUUGAUAUUACAUUUGUUUUAAGUGAUGGAUCGGGACCUUGUCUGAAUGUAGUUGAUUCAGGAGUAUUUAUUUAGACUUAGUGUAAUAUGUGUUAGUUGAGGAUCGUGAUCAUUAGUCUAAUCAGUGUAAUAUGUGUUAGUCCAAUGAUGUCAAAGUGUCACUUAGUUCUGCUUCUGCCUGUGUAUGAGCUUCUUGCAUUUUUAAAAGGGCUUUCGACUGGGUAUAGAGUGAAAAUUUCUUGUUGAAGCCAUAUUGUCAAACAUAUACAUGUGUUCGAGGUCCUUUCAGGUAUUUUGAUGGAAACUGAAAUAAGAAUUGGUUGUGUUUGAUAGCUAGGCUAGUUAUGUGAACGAUAAUGAUGUUCUAGGGAAGAUUCAUUCAGUGUUUCAAUUUCAGUAAUGAUUGGUAAUGGGUCUGUUGUUAUUUGGGCAUGGAAUGUUCUAUUUUGGCAAGAUAGGGAGAUCGCCUGUUGAGUUUUGUUGAAAUAAAUCUCACUAGGAAUUGCAUAUUCACUUCAGAAGAUGUUAACAUUAAAAUAUGCUUUGCAUUUGAGUCAAGGAUUAUCAGAAUUGGUUCAAACUCAGAUUUU